AACGCGAAGAACCUUACCGGGGCUUGACAUCCCGUGACCAUCUAGGAGACUAGGUUUUCCCGCAAGGGAACACGGAGACAGGUGCUGCAUGGCUGUCGUCAGCUCGUGCCGUGAGGUGUUGGGUUAAGUCCCGCAACGAGCGCAACCCUUGUCGUGUGUUGGUCGCAAGAUCUCUCACACGAGACCGCCGGUGACAAGCCGGAGGAAGGUGGGGAUGACGUCAAGUCAGCAUGGCCCUUACGUCCCGGGCUACACACGUGCUACAAUGGGGAGGACAGCGAGUCGCGAACCCGCGAGGGCAAGCUAAUCUCUUAAACCUCUCCUCAGUUCGGAUUGGAGGCUGCAACUCGCCUCCAUGAAGUCGGAAUCGCUAGUAACCGCAGAUCAGCUACGCUGCGGUGAAUACGUUCCCGGGCCUUGUA
Molecule: ribosomal RNA, 422 nt
Filed under: uncultured bacterium
Lineage: Bacteria
Description: bacterial SSU rRNA
Rfam family: Bacterial small subunit ribosomal RNA
Source: RNAcentral